This 1348-nucleotide ribosomal RNA is filed under the name uncultured bacterium. RNAcentral describes it as "16S ribosomal RNA". It matches the Rfam family "Bacterial small subunit ribosomal RNA", at positions 46 to 1395 of the family's 1533-position model. The record is from RNAcentral.
GCCUAACACAUGCAAGUCGAACGAGGUUGAUCCGGUGGCAACAUCGGUGACUACCUAGUGGCGAACGGGUGAGUAACACGUGAGGAACCUGCCCCGAAGACCGGGAUAAGCCUCCGAAAGGAGGUCUAAUACCGGAUGUCCCCACCAGACCGCAUGGCUUGGUGAGGAAAUGGAUUCCGCUUCGGGAGGGCCUCGCGGCCUAUCAGCUAGUUGGUGGGGUAACGGCCCACCAAGGCAUCGACGGGUAGCUGGUCUGAGAGGACGAUCAGCCACCCUGGGACUGAGACACGGCCCAGACUCCUACGGGAGGCAGCAGUGGGGAAUCUUGCGCAAUGGGCGAAAGCCUGACGCAGCAACGCCGCGUGGGGGAUGAAGGCUCUCGGGUUGUAAACCCCUUUCAGCAGGGACGAAUCAAGACGGUACCUGCAGAAGAAGCCCCGGCUAACUACGUGCCAGCACCCGCGGUAACACGUAGGGGCCAAGCGUUGUCCGGAUUUAUUGGGCGUAAAAAGCUCGUAGGCGGCUGAGUAAGUCGAAUGUUAAAUCCCCAGGCUCAACCUGGGUUCACCCACCCGAUACUGCUCUGGCUAAAGNUCCGGUAGGGGAGCGUGGAAUUCCUGGUGUAGCGGUGAAAUGCCCAGAUUAUCAAGGAGGAACACCCACCGGCGAAGGCGGCGCUNUGGGCCCGAACUGACGCUUGAGAAGCGAAAGCGUGGGUAGCAAACAGGAUUAGAUACCCUGGUAGUCCCACNCCGUAAACGUUGGGCACUAGGUGUGGGGUCUAUUCAACGGAUUCCGUGCCGUAGCUAACGCAUUAAGUGCCCCGCCUGGGGAGUACGGCCGCAAGGCUAAAACUCAAAGGAAUUCACGGGGGCCCGCACAAGCAGCGGAGCAUGUUGCUUAACUCGAGGCAACGCGAAGAACCUUACCUGGGUUUGACAUGUAGAGAAAAGCCGUAGAGAUACGGUGUCCUUCGGGGUUCUACACAGGUGGUGCAUGGUUGUCGUCAGCUCGUGUCGUGAGAUGUUGGGUUAAGUCCCGCGACGAGCGCAACCCUUGUCCUAUGUUGCCAGCACGUAAUGGUGGGGACUCGUAGGAGACUGCCGGGGUCAACUCGGAGGAAGGUGGGGACGACGUCAAAUCAUCAUGCCCCUUAUGUCCAGGGCUGCAAACAUGCUACAAUGGCCGGUACAGAGGGCUGCGAAACCGUGAGGUGGAGCGAAUCCCACAAAGCCGGUCUCAGUUCGGAUUGGAGUCUGCAACUCGACUCCAUGAAGCUGGAGUUGCUAGUAAUCCCGGAUCAGCAACGCCGGGGUGAAUACGUUCCCGGGACUUGUACACACCGCCC